Molecule: ribosomal RNA, 2920 nt
Filed under: Bacillus cereus VD154
Lineage: Bacteria; Bacillati; Bacillota; Bacilli; Caryophanales; Bacillaceae
Description: bacterial LSU rRNA
Rfam family: Bacterial large subunit ribosomal RNA
Source: RNAcentral
UUAAGUUAGAAAGGGCGCACGGUGGAUGCCUUGACACUAGGAGUCGAUGAAGGACGGGACUAACGCCGAUAUGCUUCGGGGAGCUGUAAGUAAGCUUUGAUCCGAAGAUUUCCGAAUGGGGAAACCCACCAUACGUAAUGGUAUGGUAUCCUUAUCUGAAUACAUAGGGUAAGGAAGACAGACCCAGGGAACUGAAACAUCUAAGUACCUGGAGGAAGAGAAAGCAAAUGCGAUUUCCUGAGUAGCGGCGAGCGAAACGGAACAUAGCCCAAACCAAGAGGCUUGCCUCUUGGGGUUGUAGGACAUUCUAUACGGAGUUACAAAGGAACGAGGUAGACGAAGCGACCUGGAAAGGUCCGUCGUAGAGGGUAACAACCCCGUAGUCGAAACUUCGUUCUCUCUUGAAUGUAUCCUGAGUACGGCGGAACACGUGAAAUUCCGUCGGAAUCUGGGAGGACCAUCUCCCAAGGCUAAAUACUCCCUAGUGAUCGAUAGUGAACCAGUACCGUGAGGGAAAGGUGAAAAGCACCCCGGAAGGGGAGUGAAAGAGAUCCUGAAACCGUGUGCCUACAAAUAGUCAGAGCCCGUUAAUGGGUGAUGGCGUGCCUUUUGUAGAAUGAACCGGCGAGUUACGAUCCCGUGCGAGGUUAAGUUGAAGAGGCGGAGCCGCAGCGAAAGCGAGUCUGAAUAGGGCGUUUAGUACGUGGUCGUAGACCCGAAACCAGGUGAUCUACCCAUGUCCAGGGUGAAGUUCAGGUAACACUGAAUGGAGGCCCGAACCCACGCACGUUGAAAAGUGCGGGGAUGAGGUGUGGGUAGCGGAGAAAUUCCAAUCGAACCUGGAGAUAGCUGGUUCUCCCCGAAAUAGCUUUAGGGCUAGCCUUAAGUGUAAGAGUCUUGGAGGUAGAGCACUGAUUGGACUAGGGGUCCUCAUCGGAUUACCGAAUUCAGUCAAACUCCGAAUGCCAAUGACUUAUCCUUAGGAGUCAGACUGCGAGUGAUAAGAUCCGUAGUCAAAAGGGAAACAGCCCAGACCGCCAGCUAAGGUCCCAAAGUGUGUAUUAAGUGGAAAAGGAUGUGGAGUUGCUUAGACAACUAGGAUGUUGGCUUAGAAGCAGCCACCAUUUAAAGAGUGCGUAAUAGCUCACUAGUCGAGUGACUCUGCGCCGAAAAUGUACCGGGGCUAAAUACACCACCGAAGCUGCGGAUUGAUACCAAUGGUAUCAGUGGUAGGGGAGCGUUCUAAGGACAGUGAAGUCAGACCGGAAGGACUGGUGGAGUGCUUAGAAGUGAGAAUGCCGGUAUGAGUAGCGAAAGACGGGUGAGAAUCCCGUCCACCGAAUGCCUAAGGUUUCCUGAGGAAGGCUCGUCCGCUCAGGGUUAGUCAGGACCUAAGCCGAGGCCGACAGGCGUAGGCGAUGGACAACAGGUUGAUAUUCCUGUACCACCUCUUUAUCGUUUGAGCAAUGGAGGGACGCAGAAGGAUAGAAGAAGCGUGCGAUUGGUUGUGCACGUCCAAGCAGUUAGGCUGAUAAGUAGGCAAAUCCGCUUAUCGUAAAGGCUGAGCUGUGAUGGGGAAGCUCCUUAUAGAGCGAAGUCUUUGAUUCCCCGCUGCCAAGAAAAGCUUCUAGCGAGAUAAAAGGUGCCUGUACCGCAAACCGACACAGGUAGGCGAGGAGAGAAUCCUAAGGUGUGCGAGAGAACUCUGGUUAAGGAACUCGGCAAAAUGACCCCGUAACUUCGGGAGAAGGGGUGCUUUCUUAACGGAAAGCCGCAGUGAAUAGGCCCAAGCGACUGUUUAGCAAAAACACAGCUCUCUGCGAAGCCGUAAGGCGAAGUAUAGGGGGUGACACCUGCCCGGUGCUGGAAGGUUAAGGAGAGGGGUUAGCGUAAGCGAAGCUCUGAACUGAAGCCCCAGUAAACGGCGGCCGUAACUAUAACGGUCCUAAGGUAGCGAAAUUCCUUGUCGGGUAAGUUCCGACCCGCACGAAAGGUGUAACGAUUUGGGCACUGUCUCAACCAGAGACUCGGUGAAAUUAUAGUACCUGUGAAGAUGCAGGUUACCCGCGACAGGACGGAAAGACCCCGUGGAGCUUUACUGUAGCCUGAUAUUGAAUUUUGGUACAGUUUGUACAGGAUAGGCGGGAGCCAUUGAAACCGGAGCGCUAGCUUCGGUGGAGGCGCUGGUGGGAUACCGCCCUGACUGUAUUGAAAUUCUAACCUACGGGUCUUAUCGACCCGGGAGACAGUGUCAGGUGGGCAGUUUGACUGGGGCGGUCGCCUCCUAAAGUGUAACGGAGGCGCCCAAAGGUUCCCUCAGAAUGGUUGGAAAUCAUUCGUAGAGUGCAAAGGCAUAAGGGAGCUUGACUGCGAGACCUACAAGUCGAGCAGGGACGAAAGUCGGGCUUAGUGAUCCGGUGGUUCCGCAUGGAAGGGCCAUCGCUCAACGGAUAAAAGCUACCCCGGGGAUAACAGGCUUAUCUCCCCCAAGAGUCCACAUCGACGGGGAGGUUUGGCACCUCGAUGUCGGCUCAUCGCAUCCUGGGGCUGUAGUCGGUCCCAAGGGUUGGGCUGUUCGCCCAUUAAAGCGGUACGCGAGCUGGGUUCAGAACGUCGUGAGACAGUUCGGUCCCUAUCCGUCGUGGGCGUAGGAAAUUUGAGAGGAGCUGUCCUUAGUACGAGAGGACCGGGAUGGACGCACCGCUGGUGUACCAGUUGUUCUGCCAAGGGCAUAGCUGGGUAGCUAUGUGCGGAAGGGAUAAGUGCUGAAAGCAUCUAAGCAUGAAGCCCCCCUCAAGAUGAGAUUUCCCAUAGCGUAAGCUAGUAAGAUCCCUGAAAGAUGAUCAGGUUGAUAGGUUCGAGGUGGAAGCAUGGUGACAUGUGGAGCUGACGAAUACUAAUAGAUCGAGGACUUAACCAU